This 504-nucleotide ribosomal RNA is filed under the name uncultured bacterium. Its description in RNAcentral is "partial 16S ribosomal RNA". It matches the Rfam family "Bacterial small subunit ribosomal RNA", at positions 30 to 523 of the family's 1533-position model. The record is from RNAcentral.
AUUGAACGCUGGCGGCAGGCCUAACACAUGCAAGUCGAACGGUAGCACAGAGAGCUUGCUCUCGGGUGACGAGUGGCGGACGGGUGAGUAAUGUCUGGGAAACUGCCCGAUGGGGGGUGAUAACUACUGGAAACGGUAGCUAAUACCGCAUAACGGCGCAAUACCAAAGUCGGGGACCUUCGUGCCUCACACCAUAGGAUGUGCCAAGCUGGGAUUAGCUAGUAGGUGGGGUAAUGGCUCACCUAGGCGACGAUCCCUCGCUGGUCUGAGAGGAUGACCGGCCACACUGGAACGGAGACACGGUCCAGACUCCUACGGGAGGCAGCAGUGGGGAAUAUUGCACAAUGGGCGCAAGCCUGAUGCAGCCAUGCCGCGUGUAUGAAGAAGGCCUUCGGGUUGUAAAGUACUUUCAGCGGGGAGGAAGGCGGUGGAGUUAAUAACUUCACCGAUUGACGUUACCCGCAGAAGAAGCACCGGCUAACUCCGUGCCAGCAGCCGCCGCCG